This 497-nucleotide ribosomal RNA is filed under the name uncultured bacterium. Its description in RNAcentral is "partial 16S ribosomal RNA". It matches the Rfam family "Bacterial small subunit ribosomal RNA", at positions 28 to 507 of the family's 1533-position model. The record is from RNAcentral.
GAUGAACGCUGGCGGCGUGCCUAAUACAUGCAAGUCGAGUGAACAGACGAGGAGCUUGCUCCUCUGACGUUAGCGGCGGACGGGUGAGUAACACGUGGAUAACCUACCUAUAAGACUGGGAUAACUUCGGGAAACCGGAGCUAAUACCGGAUAAUAUAUUGAACCGCAUGGUUCAAUAUUGAAAGACGGUUUUGCUGUCACUUAUAGAUGGAUCCGCGCCGCAUUAGCUAGUUGGUAAGGUAACGGCUUACCAAGGCAACGAUGCGUAGCCGACCUGAGAGGGUGAUCGGCCACACUGGAACUGAGACACGGUCCAGACUCCUACGGGAGGCAGCAGUAGGGAAUCUUCCGCAAUGGGCGAAAGCCUGACGGAGCAACGCCGCGUGAGUGAUGAAGGUCUUCGGAUCGUAAAACUCUGUUAUUAGGGAAGAACAAAUGUGUAAGUAACUAUGCACGUCUUGACGGUACCUAAUCAGAAAGCCACGGCUAACUACGUG